AGAGUUUGAUCCUGGCUCAGGACGAACGCUGGCGGCGUGCCUAAUACAUGCAAGUCGAGCGCAGGAAGCUCACGGAACUCUUCGGAGGGAAGUGAAGGGAAUGAGCGGCGGACGGGUGAGUAACACGUAAGGAACCUGCCCCAAGGAUUGGGAUAACUCCGAGAAAUCGGAGCUAAUACCGAAUAGUUCUUCAGACCGCAUGGUCUGAUGAUGAAAGGCGCUCCGGCGUCACCUUGGGAUGGCCUUGCGGUGCAUUAGCUAGUUGGUGGGGUAAUGGCCCACCAAGGCGACGAUGCAUAGCCGACCUGAGAGGGUGAUCGGCCACACUGGGACUGAGACACGGCCCAGACUCCUACGGGAGGCAGCAGUAGGGAAUCUUCCACAAUGGACGAAAGUCUGAUGGAGCAACGCCGCGUGAGUGAUGAAGGUUUUCGGAUCGCAAAACUCUGUUGUAAGGGAAGAACAAGUACGAGAGGUAAUGCUCGUACCUUGACGGUACCUUGCGAGAAAGCCACGGCUAACUACGUGCCAGCAGCCGCGGUAAUACGUAGGUGGCAAGCGUUGUCCGGAAUUAUUGGGCGUAAAGCGCGCGCAGGCGGCCUUUUAAGUCUGAUGUGAAAGCCCCCGGCUCAACCGGGGAGGGUCAUUGGAAACUGGAAGGCUUGAGUACAGAAGAGAAGAGUGGAAUUCCAUGUGUAGCGGUGAAAUGCGUAGAGAUGUGGAGGAACACCAGUGGCGAAGGCGACUCUUUGGUCUGUAACUGACGCUGAGGCGCGAAAGCGUGGGGAGCAAACAGGAUUAGAUACCCUGGUAGUCC
Molecule: ribosomal RNA, 817 nt
Filed under: uncultured bacterium
Lineage: Bacteria
Description: bacterial SSU rRNA
Rfam family: Bacterial small subunit ribosomal RNA
Source: RNAcentral